This 1394-nucleotide ribosomal RNA is filed under the name Microbacterium sp. RNAcentral describes it as "bacterial SSU rRNA". It matches the Rfam family "Bacterial small subunit ribosomal RNA". Lineage: Bacteria; Bacillati; Actinomycetota; Actinomycetes; Micrococcales; Microbacteriaceae. The record is from RNAcentral.
CAUGCAGUCGNNCGGUGAAGCCAAGCUUGCUUGGUGGAUCAGUGGCGAACGGGUGAGUAACACGUGAGCAACCUGCCCUGGACUCUGGGAUAAGCGCUGGAAACGGCGUCUAAUACUGGAUAUGAGACGUGAUCGCAUGGUCGUGUUUGGAAAGAUUUUUCGGUCUGGGAUGGGCUCGCGGCCUAUCAGCUUGUUGGUGAGGUAAUGGCUCACCAAGGCGUCGACGGGUAGCCGGCCUGAGAGGGUGACCGGCCACACUGGGACUGAGACACGGCCCAGACUCCUACGGGAGGCAGCAGUGGGGAAUAUUGCACAAUGGGCGGAAGCCUGAUGCAGCAACGCCGCGUGAGGGAUGACGGCCUUCGGGUUGUAAACCUCUUUUAGCAGGGAAGAAGCGAAAGUGACGGUACCUGCAGAAAAAGCGCCGGCUAACUACGUGCCAGCAGCCGCGGUAAUACGUAGGGCGCAAGCGUUAUCCGGAAUUAUUGGGCGUAAAGAGCUCGUAGGCGGUUUGUCGCGUCUGCUGUGAAAUCCCGAGGCUCAACCUCGGGUCUGCAGUGGGUACGGGCAGACUAGAGUGCGGUAGGGGAGAUUGGAAUUCCUGGUGUAGCGGUGGAAUGCGCAGAUAUCAGGAGGAACACCGAUGGCGAAGGCAGAUCUCUGGGCCGUAACUGACGCUGAGGAGCGAAAGGGUGGGGAGCAAACAGGCUUAGAUACCCUGGUAGUCCACCCCGUAAACGUUGGGAACUAGUUGUGGGGACCAUUCCACGGUUUCCGUGACGCAGCUAACGCAUUAAGUUCCCCGCCUGGGGAGUACGGCCGCAAGGCUAAAACUCAAAGGAAUUGACGGGGACCCGCACAAGCGGCGGAGCAUGCGGAUUAAUUCGAUGCAACGCGAAGAACCUUACCAAGGCUUGACAUAUACGAGAACGGGCCAGAAAUGGUCAACUCUUUGGACACUCGUAAACAGGUGGUGCAUGGUUGUCGUCAGCUCGUGUCGUGAGAUGUUGGGUUAAGUCCCGCAACGAGCGCAACCCUCGUUCUAUGUUGCCAGCACGUAAUGGUGGGAACUCAUGGGAUACUGCCGGGGUCAACUCGGAGGAAGGUGGGGAUGACGUCAAAUCAUCAUGCCCCUUAUGUCUUGGGCUUCACGCAUGCUACAAUGGCCGGUACAAAGGGCUGCAAUACCGUGAGGUGGAGCGAAUCCCAAAAAGCCGGUCCCAGUUCGGAUUGAGGUCUGCAACUCGACCUCAUGAAGUCGGAGUCGCUAGUAAUCGCAGAUCAGCAACGCUGCGGUGAAUACGUUCCCGGGUCUUGUACACACCGCCCGUCAAGUCAUGAAAGUCGGUAACACCUGAAGCCGGUGGCCCAACCCUUGNGGAGGGAGCCNUCGA